UACGGGGGGGGCAAGCGUUUGUUCGGAAUUACUGGGCGUAAAGGGCUCGUAGGCGGCCAACUAAGUCAGACGUGAAAUCCCUCGGCUUAACCGGGGAACUGCAUCUGAUACUGGAUGGCUUGAGUUCGGGAGAGGGAUGCGGAAUUCCAGGUGUAGCGGUGAAAUGCGUAGAUAUCUGGAGGAACACCGGUGGCGAAGGCGGCAUCCUGGACCGGACACUGACGCUGAGGAGCGAAGCCAGGGGAGCAAACGGG
RNAcentral lists this ribosomal RNA (254 nucleotides) under uncultured bacterium. RNAcentral describes it as "partial 16S ribosomal RNA". It matches the Rfam family "Bacterial small subunit ribosomal RNA", at positions 524 to 776 of the family's 1533-position model. The record is from RNAcentral.